RNAcentral lists this long non-coding RNA (1450 nucleotides) under Macaca fascicularis (crab-eating macaque). RNAcentral describes it as "lncRNA (ENSMFAG00000055276.1)". The record is from RNAcentral. Lineage: Eukaryota; Metazoa; Chordata; Mammalia; Primates; Cercopithecidae.
UCUUGACAUUCCCCAAGUAGAUUCAUUUGUAUUUUCCAAGUGAAUCUACUCUUUACUCAGAACUGAUGAAGUCCUGGGCUGACUGUCUACACUGCCUUUUAUUUCAGUACUGCAGGUUUCUCUAGUUUUGUACAUAACUUUUCAGAAGGAGUUCAGUCAGGUUGGAAUAAUACAUUUGAAUAGCUGUGCGUGCAAUGCUGAGAACCUCUGCAGUCGAUGAGGCAUAGCUCAUUUCUUCUUAGUGUUUUGGUCAUGGUGGUCCGCCAUCUGGCCGAACCCACAGGAAAGACGCCCUGCCCUGGACAUUGGGGCUGGGCCUGGGAUCUGGGGACUGCCCAACAGCAUGGGGCUGCAAGCUGCAAUCCGUGGGUCCAGGCUCCUGCUUUGCCACUAGUUGGUUUUACAUGUUUUGGUACAAGUCAUGUAACCACCCAGGCCUCAGUUUCUUCAUCUGUCAAAUAAAAUUAUCUCUAAUAUUUUAAGUGCCAAACAUAGCUUUUAGUGCAUCGGGAUGAACAUUCCCAUCCCAUGUAUUAAUGUCUCCAUCUGUUUGAAAAUGGUUCCCUACACUGGCCACCUACUGGGGUCACCUGGAUAGCUCCUAGUUCAGUCAGAAUCCCUGAGGUUUGGCCUGGGCGUUGGUAUUUUUAAAGCUCGUCAAAUGAUGAUUCUCAGGAGACACCAUAGUUAAGAACUAUUGUUUAAAAAUGUGGUGUGUGCGUGUAAAUAGCAGAUGUUAAAAGAGGGUCCGCUGAGUAUUCUUUAGAAGAGGGGCUUUCUGCAAAUCAGGAGUGUACCUACUUCCAAGUAAAUGAGUAGGAAUGGCUUCGGGGACAAGGUGUCAGUCGACAGUCAUACAUUUUAAUCUUACAAAGAGAUGUGUUUUGUUUUCUUCUGAAGGCCCCUCUGCAUUGGUUCUGCUGCUUUAGAACCUACACAUCCCAACACACCCCUCAUCUUUGCCAACAUUGAGAAAUUGUUACCCUCGUUCAGAAGAUGGGUCUUUAAAGCACCUAAAUAAUUGUCUGAAAUUUUUACAUAAACCUCUGGGGUUUGCCUUUGAUCAUGAUCAUUAAUAUCAUUAAUAGGCUCUCUAAAAGUGCGUGUGAAUCUCAAGUUAGCAUUUGGCAGGGCAGUGGAAGAAUGAACGCUUUUAAAAUAGUUUGGCUCAGAAAGUGCAUCUGAAAUAACCCUGUGGGAAAAUCAGGAGAAUUUCUCAUCCUCCAAAGGAUUACCUAGGAUGAGAUACUGACCUUGUAUUUUAAGUUCAGUUGCAUUUCUUAAAACCUCAUUCAUUACCCAGCCUGAUUUAUUUUAGGAGUGAAGUAGGCUGUGGGAGGGGGCUAUAUAAUGAUGUAUGGUUUUUAUGUUUGCUUUUUGUUUUCUGCACAGUUCCCAAAAGAUUUUUAUCAUAACGUGUAUAUAUAUGUCUUAAAAAAAAAAAAAAAAA